GCAUAUCAAUAAGCGGAGGAAAAGAAACUAACAAGGAUUCCCCUAGUAACUGCGAGUGAAGCGGGAAAAGCUCAAAUUUAAAAUCUGGCGGUCUUUGGCCGUCCGAGUUGUAAUCUAGAGAAGUAAUGCCCGUGCUGGACCGUGUAUAAGUCUCCUGGGAUGGGGCGUCAUAGAGGGUGAGAAUCCCGUCUUUGACACGGACUACCAGUGCAUUGUGGUAUGCUCUCAAAGAGUCGAGUUGUUUGGGAAUGCAGCUCAAAAUGGGUGGUAAAUUCCAUCUAAAGCUAAAUAUUGGCGAGAGACCGAUAGCGAACAAGUACCGUGAGGGAAAGAUGAAAAGAACUUUGGAAAGAGAGUUAAACAGUACGUGAAAUUGCUGAAAGGGAAACGCUUGAAGUCAGUCGCGUUGGCCAGGGAUCAGCCUUGCUUUUGCAUGGUGUACUUUCUGGUUGACGGGUCAGCAUCAAUUUUGACCGCUGGAAAAGGGCCUGGGGAAUGUGGCAGCUUCGGCUGUGUUAUAGCCCCUGGUCGCAUACAGUGGUUGGGAUUGAGGAACUCAGCACGCCGCAAGGCCGGGUUUCGACCACGUUCGUGCUUAGGAUGCUGGCAUAAUGGCUUUAAGCGACCCGUCUUGAAACACGGACCAAGGAGUCUAACAUGCCUGCGAGUAUUUGGGUGGAAAACCCGAGUGCGCAAUGAAAGUGAAAGUUGAGAUCCCUGUCGUGGGGAGCAUCGACGCCCGGACCAGAACUUUUGGGACGGAUCCGCGGUGGAGCAUGUAUGUUGGGACCCGAAAGAUGGUGAACUAUGCCUGAAUAGGGUGAAGCCAGAGGAAACUCUGGUGGAGGCUCGUAGCGAUUCUGACGUGCAAAUCGAUCGUCAAAUUUGGGUAUAGGGGCGAAAGACUAAUCGAACCAUCUAGUAGCUGGGUCCUGC
RNAcentral lists this ribosomal RNA (936 nucleotides) under Agaricus bisporus (cultivated mushroom). RNAcentral describes it as "LSU rRNA". It matches the Rfam family "Eukaryotic large subunit ribosomal RNA", at positions 38 to 961 of the family's 3401-position model. The record is from RNAcentral. Lineage: Eukaryota; Fungi; Basidiomycota; Agaricomycetes; Agaricales; Agaricaceae.